UACGGAGGGUGCAAGCAUUAAUCGGAAUUAUUGGGCGUAAAGGGCGCGUAGGCGGAAAUAAAAGUCAGAUGUGAAAGCCUGGGGCUCAACCUCAGAAGAGCAUAUGAAACUUUAUAUCUAGAGGGUAGGCGGAGAAAACGGAAUUCUACAAGUAGCGGUGAAAUGCGUAGAGAUGUAGAAGAACACCGGUGGCGAAAGCGGUUUUCUAGCUUAACCCUGACGCUGAGGCGCGAAAGCAAGGGGAUCAAACAGG
RNAcentral lists this ribosomal RNA (253 nucleotides) under uncultured Parachlamydia sp. RNAcentral describes it as "partial 16S ribosomal RNA". It matches the Rfam family "Bacterial small subunit ribosomal RNA", at positions 524 to 776 of the family's 1533-position model. The record is from RNAcentral. Lineage: Bacteria; Pseudomonadati; Chlamydiota; Chlamydiia; Parachlamydiales; Parachlamydiaceae.